AGUGGGAUAGCUGGAUCAAAUGGUGGUUCCAUUCCAACUUUUCUAAGGAAUCUCCAUACUGCUUUCCAAAGUGAUUGCGCCAAUUUGCAAUCCCACCAGCAAU
This 103-nucleotide microRNA precursor is filed under the name Marmota monax (woodchuck). The record is from RNAcentral. Lineage: Eukaryota; Metazoa; Chordata; Mammalia; Rodentia; Sciuridae.